UAAAACUAAAGCAGUCCUCCGCAGAGGAGGGGUGGUGGAGGGAAUAUAUAUGUAGAUAUAUAAAAUAAUUGUCUCACAACUAGGGUGACAUACCUUGCCUGCUCACUCAAUUUUAGUGCUCCUUAGUUAUCCAUACUGACCAUCUAGUCUCGAUACACCCAUAUAUAUUUUUUUUUUGGGAAUAUGGUGGGGUGCACGGGAUUCUGCCGUCUGCCAGCGGUGGAGAGCUCGUACCCUGACCACUCCCUCACCUUUAAUGUACCGCAGUUUUGAAUUGCACACACUUCAGUUCACACACACAUUCUUACACACCGACAUGUACAUACAUUACACACACACACAUUGAGCGGGGGGCAGAUGGGGGCCUGAAGGGGGCCCCUUUUAUUCUCCCUCUCUGGGACCUUGGAGGGUGUGGUGGGUGGUCCCGGGGGGGGGGGUCUGGAGAGUACCCGGAAAACCUGCCUGGUCCUUGACCCACAGUGGCACAUCCUUGAUGAUAAUACGUUGUUGUAAAUUUGUAUUAUGUGGUGGUUGAUGUUGCUAUUUAUUGUUAUUGUUGUUAUCACAGCUGCAGCUGUACUUAUCAUUUUUGUUAUUGCUAUUACUUUUGUUAUUGGCUCUAGUUGUUUUUCUUUUUAUUUAUUUUUAUUAUUUUUAUUUUCUUUUUGUUUUUCUUAAUUUUUUGUUUUUUUUUCCGCAAUGGACAUGAAAAAAAAGCAGUCCUCCGCAGAGGAGGGGUGGUGGAGGGAAUAUAUAUGUAGAUAUAUAAAAUAAUUGUCACACACCUGGGGUGACAUGCCUUGCCUGCUCCCCCAAUUUUAGUGCACCUUAGUUAUCCAACCUGACCAUCUAGUCUCGAUACACCCAUAUAUAUAUAUGUAUAUAGAUAUAGAUAUUUCUUCUUUUUUCUUUUUUUCGCAAUGGACAAUAAAAAUAACGCAGUUCUCCGUAAAGGAGGGAUGGUGGAUGGACUAUAUAUAUACAUAUAUAUAAAAUAAUUGUCACACACCUGGGGUGACAUGCCUUGCCUGCUCCCCCAAUUUUAGUGCACCUUAGUUAUCCAACCUGACCAUCUAGUCUCGAUACACCCAUAUAUAUAUGUGUAUAUAUAUACAUAGAUAUUUCUUCUUUUUUUGUGUUUUUUUUCGCAAUGGACAAUAAAAAUAACGCAGUUCUCCGUGAAGGAGGGAUGGUGGAUGGAAUAUAUAUAUACAUAUAUAUAAAAUAAUUGUCACACACCUGGGGUGACAUUCCUUGCCUGCUCCCCCAAUUUUAGUGCACCUUAGUUAUCCAACCUGACCAUGUAGUCUCGAUACACCCAUAUAUAUAUGUGUAUAUAUAUAUAUAGAUAUUUCUUCUUUUUUUGUGUUUUUUUUCGCAAUGGACAAUAAAAAUAACGCAGUUCUCCGUGAAGGAGGGAUGGUGGAUGGAAUAUAUAUAUACAUAUAUAUAAAAUAAUUGUCACACACCUGGGGUGACAUGCCUUGCCUGCUCCCCCAAUUUUAGUGCACCUUAGUUAUCCAACCUGACCAUGUAGUCUCGAUACACCCAUAUAUAUAUGUGUAUAUAUAUAUAUAGAUAUUUCUUCUUUUUUUGUGUUUUUUUUCGCAAUGGACAAUAAAAAUAACGCAGUUCUCCGUGAAGGAGGGAUGGUGGAUGGAAUAUAUAUAUAGAUAUAUAUAAAAUAAUUGUCACACACCUGGGGUGACAUGCCUUGCCUGCUCCCCCAAUUUUAGUGCACCUUAGUUAUCCAACCUGACCAUCUAGUCUCGAUACACCCAUAUAUAUAUGUGUAUAUAUAUAUAUAGAUAUUUCUUCUUUUUUUGUGUUUUUAUUCGCAAUGGACAAUCAAAAUAACGCAGUUCUCCGUGAAGGAGGGAUGGUGGAUGGAAUAUAUAUAUACAUAUAUAUAAAAUAAUUGUCACACACCUGGGGUGACAUGCCUUGCCUGCUCCCCCAAUUUUAGUGCACCUUAGUUAUCCAACCUGACCAUCUAGUCUCGAUACACCCAUAUAUAUAUGUGUAUAUAUAUAUAUAUAUAGAUAUUUCUUCUUUUUUUGUGUUUUUUUUCGCAAUGGACAAUAAAAAUAACGCAGUUCUCCGUGAAGGAGGGAUGGUGGGUGGAAUAUAUAUAUACAUAUAUAUAAAAUAAUUGUCACACACCUGGGGUGACAUGCCUUGCCUGCUCCCCCAAUUUUAGUGCACCUUAGUUAUCCAACCUGACCAUCUAGUCUCGAUACACCCAUAUAUAUAUGUGUGUAUAUAUAUAUAUAUAUAUAUAUAUAUAUAUAUAUAUAUAUAUAUAUAUAUAGAGAGAGAGAGAGAGAGAUAUUUCUUCUUUUUUUGUGUUUUUUUUCGCAAUGGACAAUAAAAAUAACGCAGUUCUCCGUGAAGGAGGGAUGGUGGAUGGAAUAUAUAUAUACAUAUAUAUAAAAUAAUUGUCACACACCUGGGGUGACAUGCCUUGCCUGCUCCCCCAAUUUUAGUGCACCUUAGUUAUCCAACCUGACCAUCUAGUCUCGAUACACCCAUAUAUAUAUGUGUAUAUAUAUACAUAGAUAUUUCUUCUUUUUUUGUGUUUUUUUUCGCAAUGGACAAUAAAAAUAACGCAGUUCUCCGUGAAGGAGGGAUGGUGGAUGGAAUAUAUAUAUACAUAUAUAUAAAAUAAUUGUCACACACCUGGGGUGACAUGCCUUGCCUGCUCCCCCAAUUUUAGUGCACCUUAGUUAUCCAACCUGACCAUCUAGUCUCGAUACACCCAUAUAUAUAUGUGUAUAUAUAUAUAUAUAGAUAUUUCUUCUUUUUUUUGUGUUUUUUUUCGCAAUGGACAAUAAAAAUAACGCAGUUCUCCGUGAAGGAGGGAUGGUGGGUGGAAUAUAUAUAUACAUAUAUAUAAAAUAAUUGUCACACACCUGGGGUGACAUGCCUUGCCUGCUUGUGGGAUGAGGAAGAUUCAGGGACUGGAAAUGGGAUUGAAACUGAAGAUGUUCUCAUUCCUUUUUGUAUUGUUUACAAAUUUUCCUUCCCCCAGAUAUGAGGAGUUUGCUGCUAUAUUGUGCACUAUUUGAGAUUCUGAUGCUGGUAUUUUUAUUGUUUAUAAGUUUGUUAUUGUUUUCAAGUUCUUUUGUGCUUUUGCAUUUUUCCUUCUGUUUUAGUAAUUGCUGUUUGAUGUCUGUGAAGGAUGGGUGGGGUGAGAAAACUCAGGGACUGGAAGCGGGAUUAAAACUGAAGAUUACAUGCUCAUUCCUUUUUGUUUUGUUUACAAAUUCUCCUACCGUCUGAUAUGAGGAGUUUGCUGCUAUAUUGUGUACUAAUAGAGAUUCUGAUGCUGCUAUUUUUAUUGUUUAUAAAUGUGUUAUUGUUUCCAAGUUGAGUAUUCAAUAAAUGCUAAAUUGAGA
Molecule: long non-coding RNA, 3398 nt
Organism: Brienomyrus brachyistius
Lineage: Eukaryota; Metazoa; Chordata; Actinopteri; Osteoglossiformes; Mormyridae
Exons: 2
Source: RefSeq, a predicted model, not a curated record